UACAGAGGGGGCAAGCGUUAUUCGGAAUUAUUGGGCGUAAAGGGCUCGUAGGCGGUUUGUCGCGUCGGGAGUGAAAACUCAGGGCUUAACCCUGAGCCUGCUUCCGAUACGGGCAGACUAGAGGUAUGCAGGGGAGAACGGAAUUCCUGGUGUAGCGGUGAAAUGCGCAGAUAUCAGGAGGAACACCGGUGGCGAAGGCGGUUCUCUGGGCAUUACCUGACGCUGAGGAGCGAAAGUGUGGGGAGCGAACAGG
This 253-nucleotide ribosomal RNA is filed under the name uncultured bacterium. RNAcentral's name for it is "partial 16S ribosomal RNA". It matches the Rfam family "Bacterial small subunit ribosomal RNA", at positions 524 to 776 of the family's 1533-position model. The record is from RNAcentral.